Long non-coding RNA from Triplophysa rosa, 2908 nucleotides. RefSeq lists it as uncharacterized. The record is from RefSeq and is a predicted model, not a curated record. The transcript has 3 exons. NCBI's taxonomy places the organism in Eukaryota, Metazoa, Chordata, Actinopteri, Cypriniformes, Nemacheilidae.
AUUCAAAACAAAAACCCAUGAUGGGGUGCAAAACAAAACAGGAACUAAGAACACGGAAACAAAACAAAAAACUAGAACAAAACACUUCCCUCGAUGGGGCAAGAAAAAACCACGAACAGCAAAACUAAACUAAAAACACGACCAAAGGUCUCACAAACAAAACACGGCAGGGUAAACCAGAAACUCAGUCCACGGACAAGGCAUGGGACAGGAACAUGGGACCAUUAUCAACACGGGCAUACUGUAUACACGCUCGACAAGCACCUACAGGUCCAAUGCUGUUUAGGAUUAUGCAAAAAUGUCUGCACAGCCAGAAUGAAGCGGGUGAAAAUAAAGCUGAUAAAAAUGGUUUUACUGCUACUCUUUCCCAUCCCUGCUGAAAAAAGCCUAAAGUAAUUCAGAUUGAUGUCAUAAUGCUGAGCAAAUGGAGGAGCGGCUUCAUGUGGAAGACUGUUGGACUUUGCAGAGCCAGAGAUUUUUUUAUAAUACAUCCACCCCUCUCCGUCUCUCGUUCUUUUACACUCGUCUCAGUGGAAAGUCCCCUGAAAGAUUUUAGAGAAAUCCCUCGAGUACACCAGCGCACACACACAAGCGGCAGUCGAUGGAGGUCAUGGGUUACAAUACAGUAGAUGCAGUUCUGACAGUUCUUGUGUACAUGUGUGCGCAAGUACAUAAGGACAGAGACCAGUGAAAAAUGGUCCCCAUGAGUUACUCCCUGGAGACUUAUUACCUUGUUGUGUGCUGUGACGAAGAGAGGUUGAAGUGGGCUUUAGUGAAAAGUUAUGGGCCUCUAUGUUUCACAACAACAUUAGGGUCUUAAAAGAAUAGUUACUCACCCUUAUGGUCAAACCCCUAUGAUGGAACACAGAAUGAGAAUAUUGAAUAUUCACAUCUCACUACUAGUCCUGCUUGACCUUAGUGCUGCGUUCGAUACUGUAGAUCAUAACAUACUUUCAGAUCGCUUACACAAUUAUACCGGUAUUCAGGGACAGGCACUACAAUGGUUCAGAUCUUAUCAGACAGAUAUCAAUUUGUCGAUUUAAAUGGGGACUCGUCAAAUCUAACGCAAGUAAAUUAUGGAUUACCUCAUGGAUCAGUUUUAGGACCCUUGCUAUUCUCCAUAUACAUGCUGCCCCUUGGCAACAUUAUUAGAAAACAUGGAAUUAGCUUCCAUUGUUAUGCAGAUGAUACUCAGAACAAAGACAUGUGAGCAGAAUAUUUCGGAUUAUAACCUGCAAAUUGAAGGCUGCACUGUUACUCCAACAAAUACUGUUAAAGACCUAGCCGUUAUAUUAGACCGCAACCUGUCAUUUGGAAAUCACAUCUGUUGCCAAAUUAUGAAAUAUUCUAUGUGUUGCUGACGCAGAAAAGCUUAUUCAUGCAUUUCUGACCUCAAGACUUGACUACUGUAAUGCACUACUUCGUGGUUGUCCUGCAUCAUCAAUAAACAAACUACAGUUAGUUCAAAAUGCAGCUGCCAGAGUUCUAACCAGGUCCAGAAAAUACAAUCACAUAACCCCAGUUUUAUUAUCCCUUCACUGGUUACCCAUUAAGUAUCGUAUUGACUUUAAAGUUCUUUUAAUUACUUAUUAAGCCCUAAACGGUUUAGCCCAUACCUACAUAAAAGAGCUUCUAUCUUAUUACAAGCAUCACGUUCUCUAAGAUCUCAAAACUCUGGACUUUUGAUAACACCUAGAAUAACUAAAUCUACCAAAGGGGGUGGAGCUUUCUCAUACGUCGCACCUAAACUCUGGAAUAGCCUUCCAGAUACUAUUCGAAGGUCAGACACACUCCCAAUUUAAAUCUAGAUUAAAGACAUCUUUUCAGCCAAGCAUUCACUUAAUGCAUAAUAUGCUUAAUUAAUUAAUGAACAGCAGCUACGCUAAUUAUUCUCUUUUGCCCUCCUCCCCUAUAGAGAGAUUACACCAGGACCAGAUGAACGUCAUAUGCCCAUCCCUAACUAGAGAUUAUGCCAGCUCCAUCUGAACAUCCCGUGCUAUCCUCCUGCAAGAGCCUGCGGACUGACUGACCAUCCCAGCUCCAUCUCAGGCAAUUCCAUCACCACCCAAGAGCAAAGUGACCAUCUGACCAUCCCAGCCCCAUCACAAACAAUUUAAUCACCACCCAAGAGCAAAGUGACCAUGUGACCAUCCCAGCUCAGGCAAUUCCAUCCCCAGCCAAGAGUGUCAUGGUUCUGCCCCACCUUGUCUUGCUUCUCUUGACCUAGUGGCAGAACCAUGAUAGAACCUCUUGUUUUAUGUGGAGAGAGUCAGUUUUGGUAUUCCAUAUACUCCCUCUCUCCGGUGUGGCGUCUCUGUUCCCGCCCUUUCGUCUCGUUAUUGUUUGUUAAUUAGUUCAUAUCCUGCACCUGUCCCCUCUUGAUUUAUCCCGUUUAUAAUGCCCUUGUGUCUUCUGUCUGGUGCUGGUUCAUUGUACUGUGUCGUGUUCGUGUAAUGUGGUGAGUUCAUGUCUUUGAGUUAGUUUAGUUUAUUUUGUAGUUGUGAUGUGUUUCAGUCUAGUCCUGUUAGUUUAGUUAGUCUUGUUCCUGUUUCCAUGUUUGUUACUUUACCCCCACGUGGGUCUUUGUUUUGUUGCUUUUUAUUUAUUAAAGUUUGUGUUAACCCCUUACCCGCUGUCUGCACCUGGGUCCUCUGUCUCCGUGUCUCUCACCACCCACCAUUCGUGACAGAAUGAACCAGCACGAGACAGAAGACACAAGGGCAUUAUAAAGGGGAUACAUCAAUAACUGUGGUCAAGAUUUGAUUUAAAAGAACUUUAAACUCAAUCAAAAUGUUAGGAGGUAGUGUUGAAAUGUAUUUAAUUUUUUUAAAUGCAUGUUAUAAUACGAAAUUAGUUGUGCAACGUUGUGUGUGCCACCAGUAUAAAUGCAAAUGUGCAUUUAAAUAAA